Molecule: ribosomal RNA, 713 nt
Filed under: uncultured bacterium
Lineage: Bacteria
Description: bacterial SSU rRNA
Rfam family: Bacterial small subunit ribosomal RNA
Source: RNAcentral
CCCUUAGAGUUUGAUCCUGGCUCAGAACGAACGCUGGCGGCGUGCUUAAUACAUGCAAGUCGCACGAGAAAGUCCUUCGGGAUGAGUAGAGUGGCGCACGGGAGAGUAAUACAUAGGAACGUACCUUCAAGUGGGGAAUAACCACUGGAAACGGUGGCUAAUACCGCAUGGUGUCGAGAGACUAAAGAGGGCCUCUAUUUAUAAGCUCUCGCUUGAAGAGCGGCCUAUGUCCCAUUAGCUAGUUGGCGGGGUAAAAGCCCACCAAGGCGACGAUGGGUAGCUGGUCUGAGAGGAUGAUCAGCCUCACUGGGACUGAGACACGGCCCAGACUCCUACGGGAGGCAGCAGUAGGGAAUUUUGCACAAUGGGCGCAAGCCUGAUGCAGCAACGCCGCGUGAGUGAAGAAGGCCCUUGGGUUGUAAAGCUCUUUCGGCCGGGAAGAAGGGUUACCACGCGAACAGCAGGGUAAUCUGACGGUACCGGAAUAAGAAGCACCUGCUAACUACGUGCCAGCAGCAGCGGUAAUACGUAGGGUGCGAGCGUUGUUCGGAAUUACUGGGCGUAAAGGGCGCGUAGGCGGGUUUGUAAGUCGAUUGUGAAAUCCCCGGGCUUAACCUGGGAACAGCAGUCGAAACUGCAAAUCUUGGAUACCUGAGAGGAUGGCGGAAUUCCCGGUGUAGAAGUGAAAUUCGUAGAUAUCGGGAAGAACACCU